GCCAGCGUAGCUCAGUCGGUAGAGCAGCGCACUCGUAAUGCGCAGGUCUCCGGUCCGAAUCCGGACGCUGGCUCCA
Molecule: transfer RNA, 76 nt
Filed under: Synergistaceae bacterium
Lineage: Bacteria; Thermotogati; Synergistota; Synergistia; Synergistales; Synergistaceae
Description: tRNA-Thr
Rfam family: tRNA
About the family: Transfer RNA (tRNA) molecules are approximately 80 nucleotides in length. Their secondary structure includes four short double-helical elements and three loops (D, anti-codon, and T loops). Further hydrogen bonds mediate the characteristic L-shaped molecular structure. tRNAs have two regions of fundamental functional importance: the anti-codon, which is responsible for specific mRNA codon recognition, and the 3' end, to which the tRNAs corresponding amino acid is attached (by aminoacyl-tRNA synthetases). tRNAs cope with the degeneracy of the genetic code in two manners: having more than one tRNA (with a specific anti-codon) for a particular amino acid; and 'wobble' base-pairing, i.e. permitting non-standard base-pairing at the 3rd anti-codon position.
Source: RNAcentral